RNAcentral lists this ribosomal RNA (492 nucleotides) under uncultured bacterium. RNAcentral describes it as "partial 16S ribosomal RNA". It matches the Rfam family "Bacterial small subunit ribosomal RNA", at positions 29 to 507 of the family's 1533-position model. The record is from RNAcentral.
AGUGAACGCUGGCGGUAGGCCUAACACAUGCAAGUCGAACGGCAGCACAGUAAGAGCUUGCUCUUACGGGUGGCGAGUGGCGGACGGGUGAGGAAUACAUCGGAAUCUACUUUUUCGUGGGGGAUAACGUAGGGAAACUUACGCUAAUACCGCAUACGACCUACGGGUGAAAGCAGGGGAUCUUCGGACCUUGCGCGAUUGAAUGAGCCGAUGUCGGAUUAGUUAGUUGGCGGGGUAAAGGCCCACCAAGGCGACGAUCCGUAGCCGGUCUGAGAGGAUGGUCAGCGACACUGGAGCUGGGACACGGUCCAGACUCCUACGGGAGGCAGCAGUGGGGAAUAUUGGACAAUGGGCGCAAGCCUGAUCCAGCCAUACCGCGUGGGUGAAGAAGGCCUUCGGGUUGUAAAGCCCUUUUGUUGGGAAAGAAAAGCAGCAGGUUAAUACCCCGCUGUUCUGACGGUACCCAAAGAAUAAGCACCGGCUAACUUCGUG